RNAcentral lists this ribosomal RNA (786 nucleotides) under Pulvigera lyellii. RNAcentral's name for it is "partial 26S ribosomal RNA". It matches the Rfam family "Eukaryotic large subunit ribosomal RNA", at positions 34 to 805 of the family's 3401-position model. Lineage: Eukaryota; Viridiplantae; Streptophyta; Bryopsida; Orthotrichales; Orthotrichaceae. The record is from RNAcentral.
UUAAGCAUAUCACUGAGCGCAGGAGAAGAAACUAACCAGGAUUUCCCUAGUAACGGCGAGCGAACCGGAAAGAGCCCAGCUUGAAAAUCGUGGCGCCCCGGCGCCUCGAGUUGUAGUCUGGAGAAGGUCCCUCUGCGGCGCGCCGGACCCAAGUUCCCUGGAAAGGGACGCCAUCGAGGGUGAGAGCCCCGCUGAUUCCGGAGUGCGCCGCUCCACGAGGACCUGUCUGCGAGUCGGGCUGUUUGGGAAUGCAGCCCUAAGCGGGUGGUAAAUUCCAUCCAAGGCUAAAUAUUGGCAAGAGACCGAUAGCGAACAAGUACCGCGAGGGAAAGAUGAAAAGGACUUUGAAAAGAGAGUUAAAAAGUGCUUGAAAUUGCUGGGAGGGAAGCGAAUGGAAGCUGCGGGUGCGCCCCGGCUGGAUGCGGAACGGCCGUGAAACGCUGGUCCGCCGCUCAGCGCGGGGCGCUGGUCAGCGUGGGCCAUCGCGGCGGGACAAGAGCGGGGAUUCGCUUCCCGCCGAUGCCGCCGCGGUGGCCGAGGAACGAAGCGCGCGCUCACUCGUGGGCGUGGGACCCGUCCCAACUGCGCGCUCGGGACGCUGGCGUAUUGAGCUCUUCAUCCGACCCGUCUUGAAACACGGACCAAGGAGUCUAACAUGUAUGCGAGCCGGUGGGCGGCAAACCCAUUGAGGCGCAAGUAACCUGACAGGUGGGACCCCGACCGCAAGGAAGGGAGCACCAUCGACCGACCGUGAUCUUCUGUGAAGGGUUCGAGUGGUGAGCAAAC